UGAAGUUUGAUUAUCUAACAAUACUAAAAGCAUGAUAUCAAAUCCUUUAAGCGCGUCCACGUCAGCUGAAAAAAUCAGCCAAUAAGAAAUAGUGUCUUUGCCACAUCACUUAUUUCCGACGACUUGAGUUCAUAUCUUGGGUUUGUACAUUUUGGUUUCUUAUUUGCAUUUACUUUCGACCCACAUCCAUCCCAAUAUUGUGUAACCCUAACUUUGGAGCAAGUUCAUCUCCCCCACUCUUCCACUUCGUCUUCAUCAAUUCGUAUUUUUUUCUAAGCUCCGUGAGCUCUCCAUCAUCAAUGAGUUAUGACCUCUUUAAUGUCUUCUUUAUCAUUUCAUCUCUCUUUCUUCACGUAUAUAGAUUGCUAACCGGUUCGUCAAGAUUUACUUCCAAACAAUCUCCGAAAACCUCCGUCA
RNAcentral lists this long non-coding RNA (417 nucleotides) under Brassica napus (rape). Its description in RNAcentral is "long non-coding RNA (BNAP_LNC015692)". Lineage: Eukaryota; Viridiplantae; Streptophyta; Magnoliopsida; Brassicales; Brassicaceae. The record is from RNAcentral.